This 72-nucleotide transfer RNA is filed under the name Phrynosoma platyrhinos (Desert horned lizard). Its description in RNAcentral is "tRNA-OTHER". The record is from RNAcentral. Lineage: Eukaryota; Metazoa; Chordata; Lepidosauria; Squamata; Phrynosomatidae.
GCCAGUGUGGUUUAGUGAUUUAAGCACUGGACUACGAUUCUGGAGACCAGGGUUCAAAUCCCCAUUCAGCCA